GCGUCGGACUUCGCCGCUGCCCCCAAAUCGCCCGUGCGCCCCGUCGGAGUUCGCCGCUGCCGUCAGAGUUCGUGAACUAACACCAUUGUUUAAAUCGUAAGGCCACGUCAUCCCCGAAACCCUCUGCCUAAUCGGCAGCCCUCAAAAUUUACCUAGCACAGCAUUGAGUUAUGGCGUUAGUUAUGGAAAAGGAAAUGAUACCUAGCCCUCCAGACCCUGUAAUCAUUGAACUUAACAGGUUGGAGAACAAUCUCAGAGAAAAGAACAGGGAGCUGGAGUUGCUCACUGUGAAAUUAAGGCCUUGAAGGUGACUGAACUUCUGAAGGAUAAAGCUGUAGUAGAGCUAAGCAAUGACCUUACAAAGCUUGAAUUGAAGCUGAGAAAUGUCGAGAAACAUCUUCAAGAUAAGAAUCUUGAGAUAAAAAAACUAAUGAAUGAGAAGAAAGAGGCAUUGACAUCACAAUUUGCAGCCGAAGCAACUCUAAGAAGAGUUCAUGCAAAUCAAAACAAUGAAGGGUUUGUUCCAGUUGAGGCUAUUAUAGCUCCCUAUGAGUCUGAUAUUAGAAAGUACAAAAUUGAGGUAUGAAACCAAGAUUGCCGGACAUCAAUUACAAAGUAAAAGCAUUGUUUUUUUUACUGUGUCUUGUUCUGUAAACUGCAGAUUGCAUCUCUACAAGAGGAUAUAAAGGCAUUAGAGAGACUAAUAAAAUCCAAAGAUGUAGCAUUAUAGGAUUAUCACCUACAUGGUUAUUGUAAGAUCUCCGUUCUUUGGUCUCUUCGCAUAUCUGUUUGUGUUGUGUAGUUUCAGUCGUAUUGGAAAAUGUUGGGUUUCUUUUUCCUUGCGUUUAUAUCCAUUUAGUUAAUAAUUUAUUGAUGUGCAAUGACAUUUUCCAAAAAAAAGGAAAAUGCCUCUUGAAAUAGUUGUUACAUCUUGUCCGUUGUGAAUUUUUGGUUUGGCUUUAUCUGACCUUUCCUUAGCUUGAUUCUAGACAGAGCUACUUAGCUAACCCUUUUAUCUUGGAAGGUUGUCGAGUUAUGGAUUUGAGAAUGGUAUAUAUUUUUCUCAUGAUAUGAGUUAAGAAACAUCUGAUCGAUUACCAUUGGUUGAGUUUGGCUUCACUUUUUUUUUUCAUCUUUCCUUCCUUUCAAUUGUGGUUUUCCUACUAUGGACAUACCUUGUAAUUGGGAUUUUGCUCUUGUGUAUGCUUCUAUUUAACUCCCUUAACUAUGGGAUUUUGCUCUUGUGUAUACUUGUAAUUGGAAUUUUCUCCAAGUUUCGAUCGUACCCUGUUCAAAUGAUUUUUUGCAUUCUAAACUAAUUAGCAAUAUGAUCGAACAUAGAUGUUUUGUUUGCCUAUGAUAUUUAUAUUUCUGCUGAAGACUUGUGACAAUAGAGGAUAUACUUGAAAUUUGCAGAAAACAUUUGUCUAAAUUAAAAGGCAGUUUAUGGCUUGGGUAUAUUUCCAUAAACCUGGCAUAGUCUAUAUGCACAUGGAGUUGUGUCAGAUCCCUGCUUGGAGGUUCUCUCCAUUUUUUUUCUUCUUAUGCUCUCAUUGGCUUUAAGUUUGGAACUGAAAUGUGUAUGCUUCUAUAUUCAACUAUCUAUAGCUUUGCAGGUGGAGUUCCAGGUAUUGGUAAAACACAACUGGGGUAUGUUCAGUUUUUCAUCUUAGGCACCUUAAUGCUGGAACUGAUGGUAAAUUUGAGCCCUCUGGAAAUUUCGGGAUCAGGUUGUGGGUGUUACCAGCUUGGCCUUGGUUUCAAAGCUUUGCAUCAUUCUUAUGCUCUCAUGUUGGGGCGUUUUAAUCUGCCUUUCUCUUUGGUCUUUUUAGUUGAAGUGUGCAGUAUUCUUAUCCGGCUGAAUGUCUAGCUGCUGACAUUCAGACCGGAGGAGAUUUCUUCAAUCUUGGUCCUGGUCUUUGCUGCAAUUUGUAGGUUCUAAUACAAUGGCUUACAGAUCUGCCUUUGUGUCAGACAUUUUGCUUUCUUAGCAGUAUCCUCAUCCAAUGGAAAUAAUCAAAGAACUGAUGGAAAGGCU
Molecule: long non-coding RNA, 2038 nt
Organism: Asparagus officinalis (garden asparagus)
Lineage: Eukaryota; Viridiplantae; Streptophyta; Magnoliopsida; Asparagales; Asparagaceae
Exons: 5
Source: RefSeq, a predicted model, not a curated record